RNAcentral lists this long non-coding RNA (1065 nucleotides) under Felis catus (domestic cat). RNAcentral describes it as "lncRNA (ENSFCAG00000047495.1)". The record is from RNAcentral. Lineage: Eukaryota; Metazoa; Chordata; Mammalia; Carnivora; Felidae.
CCUAGUUCGCCCCAAAGUGGAUUUGACAGGUUGUCAGCCAGGCUCCCCGCCCCCACCGCCUUCCGGGUCCCUCUCCCCAGGCGGCGGCCAGGACGGCCGCCCGCGCUCCCCGGCUCAGCCUCCUAUUGGCCCUUUCGCAGCCUGGCGCCCCGCCCCCGGUCCAGCUCGUACUCCCAUUGGCCUCGAGCCUCCCGGCGCCCCGCCCUUACCGCUGACUCCCCUCCCAUUGGCCUCGAGCCUCCCGGAGCCCCGCCCCUGCCUUUGACUCCCCUCCCCCAUUGGCCUCCAGCUGCCUGGCGCCCCGCCCCGUCCCGACUCGCCCUCCCAUUGGCCUCCGGCCCGGUGCCCACCCUCUCCGCGGCCCCUCCUGAGCAGCUCCGCCCGGCUGGCGGCUCAGCGCGAGGUCUCUGCCGGGUCCUUCGUGGCCGGCGUCCUCCCGAGUUCUGUUCCGGUCCCUCGCCACUUCGCUGCCAGCGUUCGCCGUCUCCCCUCCGCGUCGCCCGCCGCCCCGGGAGCCGAGCUCCGCGGCGCGCUCGCUGCCCUCCUGCGCCUGCCCCCAGCGCUCGGCGCCCUGCGCUGCCCGCACGCUCUCCUCCUGCCCCUUUCCUCCUUUUUGCGUCACUCGCUUUUCCUUUCUCCCCGAGUAGGAGGCCGAAAACGCCUUCCCGGGUUUCCUCCCGGGGCCCAUCUGUCGGGUCGUCCGCGCGCGUCCCUCUCCCCGCCCCACGCCUCCAUUCCGCCCGCCCCCGGACUCGGCCGCGGGGACCCACCUCCCCGCGCUGCUGGGCGGAGGGCUGGCGCAAACGCGGUGAAUAUCAGCACGAAGAUGGUUAUUGCCCUGAGUUUGUGAAACGGAAAAUGAGCUGGAACCCCCAGAUCGACCCAGACCCAGGCUCGAGAUUGAGUUCUUAUAAAGGGCAGAGUGAGGCUGCAGCGACAAGAGUUGGUUGGCCCGACAGCGUAAUUGGUUUUUCCGGGCGGGGAGGGCUACAUCGAUCGUUCAUGCAGUGGUCUUCUGACAGUUUAAAUUCUGGGCUUCCUCCAAAAUUUGUGCAAGUUUUGUAA